CAGCAGCCGCGGUAAUACAUAGGUCGCAAGCGUUAUCCGGAAUUAUUGGGCGUAAAGCGUUCGUAGGCUGUUUAUUAAGUCUGGAGUCAAAUCCCAGGGCUCAACCCUGGUUCGCUUUGGAUACUGGUAAACUAGAGUUGGAUAGAGGUAAGCGGAAUUCCAUGUGAAGCGGUGAAAUGCGUAGAUAUAUGGAAGAACACCAAAGGCGAAGGCAGCUUACUGGGUCUAUACUGACGCUGAGGGACGAAAGCGUGGGGAGCAAACAGGAUUAGAUACCCGUGUAGUCCCUGUCUCUUAUACA
Molecule: ribosomal RNA, 301 nt
Filed under: uncultured bacterium
Lineage: Bacteria
Description: partial 16S ribosomal RNA
Rfam family: Bacterial small subunit ribosomal RNA
Source: RNAcentral